Molecule: non-coding RNA, 27 nt
Filed under: Cricetulus griseus (Chinese hamster)
Lineage: Eukaryota; Metazoa; Chordata; Mammalia; Rodentia; Cricetidae
Source: RNAcentral
GCUACUCUUGACAGUGGGAUGACGAUA